GCAGAUGUAGCUGCACCAUUCUAAAGGAGUGUCCAUUGUAGGAAUCACAAGAUAAGCCUAAUUUGUCGAGUAAAAUUUUGACAUGUGAAAUGAAAAAUUUUCUGUUUAAAGGUUUCAUAUCUUCAGAGAUGAAAAAAGCCUCAGUAUUAGAGGAGUACACAGACUGCCUCAACUGAUUGUAUUUCAAUAUCGAUAAAACAGGACAAAUUGAACAACCUGUUUUGUAAAGUGGAAUAGUAAUUCCUUGUCUAAAAGGAUCAGUUUUAGACUUUUUAAGAGUUACAAAAAUACAGUCAGCAGUGAUUUUGCAAAUCACUGCAGCAUAAGUUACAUUCAGGAUCAAACUGAUUCAUUACAGUGAAUUCACCACAUCUUAAAAAACCAAAAAAGGCUGUUGUACAGGCAGCCUCUAACAUAAUACUAUUAAAAUUACCAAAAAUACAUGUAUGUAGUAAUUUACACAUUUUUGACAAAAUAGACAUAGUAAUAGGUAAACGUUUGCGUUUGACAGUAGACCCUUUUUUUUUCUUUAAACCAAUUAAAAUUGUUUUAAGACACUCAAGAGGCUUU
RNAcentral lists this long non-coding RNA (570 nucleotides) under Mytilus galloprovincialis (Mediterranean mussel). Lineage: Eukaryota; Metazoa; Mollusca; Bivalvia; Mytilida; Mytilidae. The record is from RNAcentral.